AAAAAAGAAAAGAAAAAAUACCUCUUUCGACGUUUCUUCUCCUUUCUCAGAUGUUGAAGCAAUUUCCGUGGAGAUCUGAAGCUACAGAAAUCAAAAAUCCAUUCUGUUAAAUGCUGUAACAAUUGCUUGAAGAGGUGAAUACUGAGGGUAGCAAAUCGUAUUUGGAAACAGAGUCAAACCGAUGGUUAGAAAAUCGGUGGAUUCACCAAGGACUUCUUCUAUUCCGAUCUCUUAAGAUACGAAAUCAACAGUGAGAAGAACGAUGAGUUUGAGAUGGUUGUCGAUUUUGUCUUUUCAGAUAUCUUUGACAAAGUGUUAAUAAGAUUUGAAAGACAAUAAACGAUUGGAAUGGUUUAUAAUAGUCCGAAGAAGAUCCGGCGCAGGGGUCAAUAUCUGAUAUUUUAAAAUUGAUUCGGAAACAUCUCUGCAAAAACAACAGCCAAAUAACACUGGAAACAAAUAGAAAAAUAUAUUUUUGAAGAAUUAUUAACCAGUUCCAGGUACAAAGAUUAUGAAUUUCAUUCUUAUAAGAAGAUAACAAUCACUUUAAUAUUAAAGAUAAGUUAUUUUUUUAAACUUUGUUUUCUCUUACAUCAGUAUAUAAUUUGUGUUUCAUCUACCAAAAAGAAAUAAAACUUUUAUUGGGUUUUGUUUGCAGGAGAGAUAAAGAGAUGAUUCAGAAAGGAACUAAUAUCAUAAGUACAACAUACCUGAAGGAAGAUAAGUUUUACAGACUUUGACUUGCAUUUUAAACUCAUGUUGUUCUUCAAAAGUAUCAACUGCAGGCUAAUGUUGGUUACUAUUUUUUUCAAUCUCUAUCUGACAGUUGUAUAAUGAUGAAGGACAUGCGCCAAAGUACAACCAAAGCUUUACAGUACAAAAGAUAAGUCUCCGACUAUAGCUUUAUUUUAUUUGGUUAUAAAUGAGAGAACAUUGUGUAUUUUUUUUAAGAUUUUAAUGCGAUGAUUUAACAGUAUAGAUACAAUUCGUGUUCAAGUCGUGCAUUGGCAUCUUUAGAAACAGAGCUGUAUUGGGAAUUGGAUGACAUGGGACAGAGAUAAAACACUUCAUCAAUACGAUUAAUCAAGAGCAGUGAUGCCUCAAAUGCAUUGGUGAUUUGGAGUUCACCUGCAUCGAAUAUAUAGGAAUGAUCGGUUGAUCGAUAGGAUCCAUUUGCAGGACUGAGGUUGAAAUUCUGAAUCCACCUCCAUGCGCCAACAUGAAGAAGGCUUUACUCUCCAUGAGUUUCAAAGGCGACCCGUAAUCCGCACGUGGUUUCCGUUUGUCCAAAGGCCCGUAAUCCGCACGUGGUUUCCGAUUGUCAACCAUCUAAUCCCCUUGGCCUGGAACCAGCCGGCACUAAUACCCAUUACCCAAGGACCCGGCACCAACGCCGCGUUAACUUUAAACUUGGGGUGGGCAUAAAGCAUUCCGUGACCACAGGGAGUAUCGAACUCGGGUCCGUAUCGGUUGUGGUAACUACCUCAAGACCACUAGCCCACCACUCCGUGGUUCUGAAAUUUACCUUAUGUUGGACCAUCUGAUUAACCUCAUUAUUUUAGUAUGUAUUGUUACAUUAUUUAUCUUUUCGUUUUUUUUUUUGAACUUUGAAGGUGAUAUAGAGUCUGAAUGUUUUUUUUU
Long non-coding RNA from Brassica oleracea var. oleracea, 1641 nucleotides. RefSeq lists it as uncharacterized. Lineage: Eukaryota; Viridiplantae; Streptophyta; Magnoliopsida; Brassicales; Brassicaceae. The record is from RefSeq and is a predicted model, not a curated record. The transcript has 7 exons.